RNAcentral lists this ribosomal RNA (454 nucleotides) under uncultured bacterium. Its description in RNAcentral is "bacterial SSU rRNA". It matches the Rfam family "Bacterial small subunit ribosomal RNA", at positions 917 to 1350 of the family's 1533-position model. The record is from RNAcentral.
GGGCCAACACAAGUGGUGGAGCAUGUUGUUUAAUGCGAAAAUACGCGCGAAACCUUACCAGUUCUUGACAGUGUGUUAAGUGACGAAAAAAUAGCUUUUUUGUCCUCUUUAUAGUAAGAAUUUUCACACACAGGUGUUGCAUGGCUGUCGUCAGCUCGUGUUGUGAAAUGUUAGAUUAAUUUCUUAAACGAGCGCAACCCCUACUUUUAGUUGCCAGUGUUUGUUGUUCCAAACAGGAACUCUAAAAGAACUGCUAGUGGAUAAGCUAGAGGAAGGUGGGGAUAACGUCAAGUCCUCAUGGCCCUUAUGAACUGGGCUACAAACGUGCUACAAUGAAAACUACAAAAAGAAGCAAUAGUGCUUAAGCUGGAGCAAAUCUCUAAAAGUUUUCUUAGUUCGGAUUGUGGGCUGAAACUCGCCCACAUGAAGUUGGAAUCACUAGUAAUCGUAGAUC